AACGAACGCUGGCGGCGCGUCUUAAGCAUGCAAGUCGGACGGCAAGAAGAGAGCUUGCUCUCUUCCUAGAGUGGCGGACUGGUGAGUAACACGUGGGUGACGUACCCUUUAGCUGGGGAUAGCCGGUAGAAAUACCGGGUAAUACCGAAUAAUCUUGCUUCUUUGAAGUGAAGUAAGGAAAGGAGCUUCGGCUUCACUGAAGGAACGGCCCGCGCACUAUUAGCUAGUUGGUGAGGUAACGGCUCACCAAGGCAACGAUAGUUAUCCGGCCUAAGAGGGUGAACGGACACAUUGGGACUGAGAUACGGCCCAGACUCCUACGGGAGGCAGCAGCUAAGAAUAUUCCGCAAUGGAGGAAACUCUGACGGAGCGACGCCGCGUGGAUGAUGAAGGUCGGAAGAUUGUAAAAUCCUUUAAGUAUGAUGAAUAACCUGAUCAGGAAAUGGGACAGGGAUGACCGUAAUACUUGAAUAAGCAACGGCUAAUUACGUGCCAGCAGCCGACGG
RNAcentral lists this ribosomal RNA (506 nucleotides) under uncultured bacterium. RNAcentral describes it as "bacterial SSU rRNA". It matches the Rfam family "Bacterial small subunit ribosomal RNA", at positions 29 to 520 of the family's 1533-position model. The record is from RNAcentral.